Molecule: unclassified non-coding RNA, 2627 nt
Filed under: Zea mays
Lineage: Eukaryota; Viridiplantae; Streptophyta; Magnoliopsida; Poales; Poaceae
Description: misc RNA Zm00001eb160950
Source: RNAcentral
CACGCACAUCUCAACAGCCACGGAUGGUGCCACCUCCGUCCAACGCCGCUGGCCUACCUCGAUCUUCUCCAUCGCCUGCUACGGUCGACACAGCCCCGCCCCCAUCUUCUCAGGUGUCUGCCAUGGUCGACGCCGGCCUGCCCCAAUCUUCACAGGCGCAUGCCAUGGUCGACGCCGACCUACCUCGAUCUUCUACCACGCCUGCCAUGGUCGACACAGCACGACCCCAAUCUUCUCCGCCGCAUGCCAUGGUUGACGCCAACUCGCCUCGAUCCUGUAGCUGUGAUGCGAUGGUUCACGCCGACCUACCUCAAUCUUCUACCUGUGAUGCCAUGAUUGACAUUGAUCCGCCCCAAACGAGCAUAGCCCCAUGGGUCCUGACCCCAUCAAGCACAACCACAUGGAUCCCGUCCGCAGGAACCACACAUCUCAUUUCAACUUUUGGAACACCUAAAAAGAAUACAGUCAUGUCCCCCUUGAUGUAUGCUACUCAUGUUCCUGAAGUACAUGAAUCUAUGAAGCCAUUUGUUGGACAAAUUUUUGAAAGAUUGCAAGAUGCAGAGGAUUUUUAUAGAAGAUAUGCAAAAGAGGCUCGUUUUGGAGUUCGUAUUGGUCCACAUACAGAUUUGAAUGGUGUUAGAAGAUGGCAAAGAUGGUUCUGUUCUAAACAGGGAUAUAGGUCUGAGAAAAAGGUAGACAGCAAACCGAAACGUAUUCAAAAGAUUUCUAGGUGUGGUUGUGAAGCAGUUCUAGCUGUCAAGGUGAUUGAAGAUAAUAAGUUUCGGGUGGAGAUAUUUGUGGAAUCACAUACACAUAGUCUUGUUUCACCAGACAAGGUCCACUUGAUUAGGUCGAACAGAGAAGUUAAUGAGAAGGCUAAGCGUGCAUUAGUGGCAUGCCACAAGGGAGGCAUCGGUACAAGUGGGGCAUACAGAUAUCUUCGUAUUAGCGAAGGUGGAUUUGAGAAUGUGGGGUGCAACAAGAAGGAUUUGCAAAACUAUCAUAAGCAGUUGAGAAGUUGUAUCACAUCAUCAGAUGCUCAAAUGUUCAUUGACAACGUUGCCUCAAAAAAUGAAUUAAAUCCUACAUUUUAUUGUGACUAUGUGGUUGAUGAAAAGGGAAGGCUUGUACAUGUUUUUUGGGCAGAUCCCACAUGCAGAAAGAAUUUCUCACAUUUCGGUGAUCUUCUCUCAUUUGAUUCAACAUACAACACCAACCACUACAACAUGAUAUUCACACCAUUCACAGAUCAGUUUGUUUUGAAGAGAUGGACUAAACUAGUGACUAAGGAUGAUGUCUUCGAUGGAGAGGGAAACAUGUUGAAAGAAGUUCCAAAGGAUGCUGUAGAAACAACUAAUGCAAAGUUGGCAUCUCAAAUUAGAAGCAAGAUUGAAGAAUUAAUUUACCGUGAUGAAGGAUCAAACAAUGGGUUACAAACACUUCGGGAUAGUAUUGUUGCAUUUGGUGAAGAUCUUUCCAUAUUGCUACCGGAGAGAAUGACAAGUCAAGUUCAAGAGAUCGAGUCCUUUGUUGGUUGUUCAAUCCCUAGCCAUGUUAUUAUACAGCCACCUAAUGAAGUCAAAUCUGUGGGUAGGUGCAAAUGAAUAAAACCUGGUCAGAAAGUAAAGAAGCUCGGUGACAAUGUGGAGAAGAAACAGAAAGUUCCUCGUAUGUGCAGGUGUUGCAAGCAAGUAGACUAUCAUGAUGCUCGAAAUUGUCCUUUAAAGAAUAAUCCAACCCAGUGAUGAAUAUCAUGUUCAUAGAUCAAGAGUCAUCAGCUAGCACAGUUCAGAGCCCAGGGAUGAAUAUCAUGUUCAUGUGCAUAUAUGGGUAAAAUAGAACGCUGAUGAGUUCAGAUAGCAGUCCUCUGGUUCAGAUAGCACAUUGUACAGAUGGAAUUUAGGCCAUGUAAAGUUGUGUUUUUUGAACUACUGUAGCAACUCAUCAGGCGCUCAAAAAAUGACAGCCCUGAAUCUUUGUACAUGGUUGCUUGCUUGAGAUAUUGAUUCUGCAAUAUAUGUUUUCAAAACUUCAUUUUUUUUCUUAAAAAAUAUUCAUCAGUUGAGAAUAUGAAAGGAUUCCUUCAAAAAUACUUGUGUAUCAAGCAUCUGAUGAUCCUGUAUAUAGUGGGUACAGGGUAGCUGUUGAUGCAUCAGCAUAGGAAGAAACCGUGCUUGGCUUUGCUAUAUGGGAGCCAUCCCAUGGGCCUUACAAAACAAUGAACUAUCCUUGGAGGAGCUUCACCAAAGUUAGUGGAGCAUUGAGGCACUGUUCCUUUGCUGUAAUGGCAUUACAUGGUUGCAUUCUUUCAGAAAUUCAGGCACCACCAGAAAGCAGAAGAGUAUUUUCUGCAGAGAUUCAAAGAGUGGGACAGGAAGGAGCUAAAGUAUUGCGUGAGCUUGGAAGCAGAGUUAAGACAAUGACCAAGCUGAGUUCUUCAGGUAUUCUGUUCGAAGUGCACAUGGCAGCUGAAGAGCUGCAAAAAAAGAUUGAUGAGAAGUCAUAUCUUCUGGUGAACACUAAAAGAUGGGAUGCUAGCAAGCAAGCUCAAGGAAUCAAAGAAGUUGUAAAUGGUACCCGUGCUGUGGAAACGGAAAACAAGAACAAAGAAAACAAGGAUGAUGGCA